AUGAAUCUGGUGGAACUCAGACUGGUGGCGGAGAUGAAUCUGGUGGAACUCGGACUGGUGGCGGAUAUAUGUUGUAGGUGGUCUCGGAUUGGCUUGAUGGUGGCGGAUAUGUGGCGUGUUAUAUGGACUCGGAUUGGCGGUGAAUAUGUGAUGGUGGUAUAUGGCAACGACGAUGAAGUUGUGCGGUGGUGGUAUAUGGCUGAUGAGGACAUCAAUACCAUUGUUACACCCACAGCCCCUACUGCUAUACAUACUGGACCAAUUACUAGAGCUCGCGCACGCCAACUAAAUUACCAGGUAAUUUUGUUUCUUGGUAAUGAUUCUAAUGUUCAUGAGAAUAUGAUGCUGCCUAAAUUGGAUACAUUUGUUUUGCUUACAAAUGAAGGGCCUAGCAUGGAGAAGGAUGAACAUUGGAGCAAGAACAAGCAUGGAGAUGAUGGCAUGCGCAAGGGGAACAAGAACAGAGUUACAAGUGAUGAUUUCAGGGCUUUGAAGCCACCACAACGAGUGCAGAAGCCUUGGACGAAAUAUACAAGAUGCCACUUCAUAAAUUUCGUCCAGAGGCUAUUCAAGGUGCUCCGUCACCUUUUUAUUGGGUCAGGCCCAUGUAAUUUCGAAAUACAUAAGUAUAGGCUAUUUUUAGAGUCCGUAUGUGUGGGGAAACAAGAGAUAGGGUUGGUUUCGGACCCCUCCACCAAGGGCCACGAAAUUCCCCUCCUAUUCCUCCAUAUAUACAGCCCUUAG
Molecule: ribosomal RNA, 744 nt
Filed under: Triticum aestivum (bread wheat)
Lineage: Eukaryota; Viridiplantae; Streptophyta; Magnoliopsida; Poales; Poaceae
Description: partial small subunit ribosomal RNA
Source: RNAcentral